UACGGGAGGCAGCAGUGAGGAAUAUUGGUCAAUGGCCGAGAGGCUGAACCAGCCAUGCCGCGUGCGGGAGGACGGCCCUAUGGGUUGUAAACCGCUUUUUUGUGGGAGCAAUAAGGGUCACGUGUGGCCUGAUGAGAGUACCAUGAGAAUAAGCAUCGGCUAACUCCGUGCCAGCAGCCGCGGUAAU
RNAcentral lists this ribosomal RNA (187 nucleotides) under uncultured rumen bacterium. Its description in RNAcentral is "partial 16S ribosomal RNA". It matches the Rfam family "Bacterial small subunit ribosomal RNA", at positions 340 to 524 of the family's 1533-position model. The record is from RNAcentral.